This is a long non-coding RNA of Dinoponera quadriceps, 543 nucleotides long. RefSeq lists it as uncharacterized. The transcript has 4 exons. NCBI's taxonomy places the organism in Eukaryota, Metazoa, Arthropoda, Insecta, Hymenoptera, Formicidae. The record is from RefSeq and is a predicted model, not a curated record.
CGCGGAAAUACUCGCCGCGCGGGAAUGCGACAGAAAAGUGGCAAAAGAUUAUGGAAAAUGUGGUGACCUUCUGAUUAAUUUAAUGUGAAAACAGAAGGAUACACAAUCAUAAUGGCUGCGUGGUACCGUCGAACGUGUGUAUAUAUCUUAUUAAAUAUAUCCUCGCGGUAAUAUACGGAACAUAUAGCUUGGCGCGAGUAUCGAAGAUAUAUCAAGAGUCGCGGUUCGAGCGGAGGAGUAUUCGGCCGCCGAAGAUCAUCGUCACCUCGAUGCGGGGAAAAUUCGAAACGGGAUGCGAUCCGUUCGCGGCGCACACAAGACAACAGGCCGACCGAAAGGACGCUGGAAGGUUAUUGAACUUCACGGACAGGAACGGUGAAAAGAGGGGCGCGGCGGAGAAAAAGCGACGACAAGGAGCGGAAGAAGAAGGAGCAGGAGGAGAAGAUCGAAACAGUUUGUCGAUGGGAUUGUGUAUGGCCGCGUGCAGACUCUGCGACAACGACGGGGUGUCGUGUGACGACGAGCUGUGGUGGGAGUGUGAAG